This 497-nucleotide ribosomal RNA is filed under the name uncultured bacterium. Its description in RNAcentral is "partial 16S ribosomal RNA". It matches the Rfam family "Bacterial small subunit ribosomal RNA", at positions 28 to 507 of the family's 1533-position model. The record is from RNAcentral.
GAUGAACGCUGGCGGCGUGCCUAAUACAUGCAAGUCGAGCGAACGGACGAGGAGCUUGCUCCUCUGACGUUAGCGGCGGACGGGUGAGUAACACGUGGAUAACCUACCUAUAAGACUGGGAUAACUUCGGGAAACCGGAGCUAAUACCGGAUAAUAUAUUGAACCGCAUGGUUCAAUAGUGAAAGACGGUUUUGCUGUCACUUAUAGAUGGAUCCGCGCCGCAUUAGCUAGUUGGUAAGGUAACGGCUUACCAAGGCGACGAUGCGUAGCCGACCUGAGAGGGUGAUCGGCCACACUGGAACUGAGACACGGUCCAGACUCCUACGGGAGGCAGCAGUAGGGAAUCUUCCGCAAUGGGCGAAAGCCUGACGGAGCAACGCCGCGUGAGUGAUGAAGGUCUUCGGAUCGUAAAACUCUGUUAUUAGGGAAGAACAUAUGUGUAAGUAACUAUGCACGUCUUGACGGUACCUAAUCAGAAAGCCACGGCUAACUACGUG